CCUACGGGAGGCUGCAGUGAGGAAUAUUGGUCAAUGGGCGCGAGUCUGAACCAGCCAAGUCGCGUGAGGGAAGACGGUCCUAUGGAUUGUAAACCGCUUUAGCCGGGGAGCAAAAGACGCCACGCGUGGCGUUCCGAGAGUACCCGAAGAAAAAGCGUCGGCUAAUUCCGUGCCAGCAGCCGCGGUAAUACGGAGGGUGCGAGCGUUAUCCGGAUUUAUUGGGUUUAAAGGGAGCGCAGGCGGAAGAUCAAGUCAGCGGUAAAAUUGAGAGGCUCAACCUCUUCGAGCCGUUGAAACUGGUUUUCUUGAGUGAAUGAGAGGUAUGCGGAAUGCGUGGUGUAGCGGUGAAAUGCAUAGAUAUCAAGCAGAACUCCGAUUGCGAAGGCAGCAUACCGGCGCGCAACUGACGCUCAUGCUCGAAAGUGUGGGUAUCGAACAGGAUUAGAUACCCGAGUAGUC
Molecule: ribosomal RNA, 459 nt
Filed under: uncultured bacterium
Lineage: Bacteria
Description: partial 16S ribosomal RNA
Rfam family: Bacterial small subunit ribosomal RNA
Source: RNAcentral